GGGUUGUGAGGUUAAGCGACUAAGCGUACACGGUGGAUGCCCUGGCAGUCAGAGGCGAUGAAGGACGUGCUAAUCUGCGAAAAGCGUCGGUAAGGUGAUAUGAACCGUUAUAACCGGCGAUGUCCGAAUGGGGAAACCCAGUGUGAUUCGUCACACUAUCGUUAACUGAAUACAUAGGUUAACGAGGCGAACCGGGGGAACUGAAACAUCUAAGUACCCCGAGGAAAAGAAAUCAACCGAGAUUCCCCCAGUAGCGGCGAGCGAACGGGGAGCAGCCCAGAGUCUGAAUCAGCUUGUGUGUUAGUGGAACGGUCUGGAAAGUCCGACGGUACAGGGUGAUAGUCCCGUACACCAAAAUGCACAGGCUGUGAACUCGAAGAGUAGGGCGGGACACGUGGUAUCCUGUCUGAAUAUGGGGGGACCAUCCUCCAAGGCUAAAUACUCCUGACUGACCGAUAGUGAACCAGUACCGUGAGGGAAAGGCGAAAAGAACCCCGGCGAGGGGAGUGAAAAAGAACCUGAAACCGUGUACGUACAAGCAGUGGGAGCACCUUCGGGUGUGACUGCGUACCUUUUGUAUAAUGGGUCAGCGACUUAUAUUCUGUAGCAAGGUUAACCGUAUAGGGGAGCCGCAGGGAAACCGAGUCUUAACUGGGCGUUAAGUUGCAGGGUAUAGACCCGAAACCCGGUGAUCUAGCCAUGGGCAGGUUGAAGGUUGGGUAACACUAACUGGAGGACCGAACCGACUAAUGUUGAAAAAUUAGCGGAUGACUUGUGGCUGGGGGUGAAAGGCCAAUCAAACCGGGAGAUAGCUGGUUCUCCCCGAAAGCUAUUUAGGUAGCGCCUCGUGAAUUCAUCUUCGGGGGUAGAGCACUGUUUCGGCUAGGGGGUCAUCCCGACUUACCAACCCGAUGCAAACUACGAAUACCGAAGAAUGUUAUCACGGGAGACACACGGCGGGUGCUAACGUCCGUCGUGAAGAGGGAAACAACCCAGACCGCCAGCUAAGGUCCCAAAGUCAUGGUUAAGUGGGAAACGAUGUGGGAAGGCACAGACAGCCAGGAUGUUGGCUUAGAAGCAGCCAUCAUUUAAAGAAAGCGUAAUAGCUCACUGGUCGAGUCGGCCUGCGCGGAAGAUGUAACGGGGCUAAACCAUGCACCGAAGCUGCGGCAGCGACACUAUGUGUUGUUGGGUAGGGGAGCGUUCUGUAAGCCUGCGAAGGUGUGCUGUGAGGCAUGCUGGAGGUAUCAGAAGUGCGAAUGCUGACAUAAGUAACGAUAAAGCGGGUGAAAAGCCCGCUCGCCGGAAGACCAAGGGUUCCUGUCCAACGUUAAUCGGGGCAGGGUGAGUCGACCCCUAAGGCGAGGCCGAAAGGCGUAGUCGAUGGGAAACAGGUUAAUAUUCCUGUACUUGGUGUUACUGCGAAGGGGGGACGGAGAAGGCUAUGUUAGCCGGGCGACGGUUGUCCCGGUUUAAGCAUGUAGGCUGGUUAUCCAGGCAAAUCCGGAUAAUCAAGGCUGAGGUGUGAUGACGAGGCACUACGGUGCUGAAGUAACAAAUGCCCUGCUUCCAGGAAAAGCCUCUAAGCAUCAGGUAACAUUAAAUCGUACCCCAAACCGACACAGGUGGUCAGGUAGAGAAUACCAAGGCGCUUGAGAGAACUCGGGUGAAGGAACUAGGCAAAAUGGUGCCGUAACUUCGGGAGAAGGCACGCUGGUGUGUAGGUGAAGCCCCUGCGGGUGGAGCUGAGACCAGUCGAAGAUACCAGCUGGCUGCAACUGUUUAUUAAAAACACAGCACUGUGCAAACACGAAAGUGGACGUAUACGGUGUGACGCCUGCCCGGUGCCGGAAGGUUAAUUGAUGGGGUUAUCCGUAAGGAGAAGCUCUUGAUCGAAGCCCCGGUAAACGGCGGCCGUAACUAUAACGGUCCUAAGGUAGCGAAAUUCCUUGUCGGGUAAGUUCCGACCUGCACGAAUGGCGUAAUGAUGGCCAGGCUGUCUCCACCCGAGACUCAGUGAAAUUGAACUCGCUGUGAAGAUGCAGUGUACCCGCGGCAAGACGGAAAGACCCCGUGAACCUUUACUAUAGCUUGACACUGAACAUUGAGCCUUGAUGUGUAGGAUAGGUGGGAGGCUUUGAAGCGUGGACGCCAGUCUGCGUGGAGCCAACCUUGAAAUACCACCCUUUAAUGUUUGAUGUUCUAACGUUGGCCCCUUACCGGGGUUGCGGACAGUGUCUGGUGGGUAGUUUGACUGGGGCGGUCUCCUCCCAAAGCGUAACGGAGGAGCACGAAGGUUAGCUAAUCCUGGUCGGACAUCAGGAGGUUAGUGCAAUGGCAUAAGCUAGCUUGACUGCGAGCGUGACGGCGCGAGCAGGUGCGAAAGCAGGUCAUAGUGAUCCGGUGGUUCUGAAUGGAAGGGCCAUCGCUCAACGGAUAAAAGGUACUCCGGGGAUAACAGGCUGAUACCGCCCAAGAGUUCAUAUCGACGGCGGUGUUUGGCACCUCGAUGUCGGCUCAUCACAUCCUGGGGCUGAAGUAGGUCCCAAGGGUAUGGCUGUUCGCCAUUUAAAGUGGUACGCGAGCUGGGUUUAGAACGUCGUGAGACAGUUCGGUCCCUAUCUGCCGUGGGCGCUGGAGAAUUGAGGGGGGCUGCUCCUAGUACGAGAGGACCGGAGUGGACGCAUCACUGGUGUUCGGGUUGUCAUGCCAAUGGCACUGCCCGGUAGCUAAAUGCGGAAGAGAUAAGUGCUGAAAGCAUCUAAGCACGAAACUUGCCCCGAGAUGAGUUCUCCCUGAGACUUUAAGUCUCCUGAAGGAACGUUGAAGACGACGACGUUGAUAGGCCGGGUGUGUAAGCGCAGCGAUGCGUUGAGCUAACCGGUACUAAUGAACCGUGAGGCUUAACCUUACAACGCCGAAG
Molecule: ribosomal RNA, 2923 nt
Filed under: Klebsiella pneumoniae
Lineage: Bacteria; Pseudomonadati; Pseudomonadota; Gammaproteobacteria; Enterobacterales; Enterobacteriaceae
Description: bacterial LSU rRNA
Rfam family: Bacterial large subunit ribosomal RNA
Source: RNAcentral